AGAAAAUUACUAAAAAAUAUCAAAUGAUAAAAUAAAAAAUAUUAAAAAUCAUUUUUAGAAAGUAGAAAUUAAAAGGAGAAAAAUGAAAUUGGUCCCAUAAUUUUUGGACCAAUAAUGAGAGAUAUGAAUUUUUAAAAAGAAAUGGAAUUAAAAGAAAUAAAAGAAUUAAAAAUCAAACAAUAAAAAAUAGGAAAUGCGUG
This 200-nucleotide long non-coding RNA is filed under the name Lathyrus oleraceus (garden pea). RNAcentral's name for it is "Pisum sativum (pea) long non-coding RNA (PSAT_LNC026249)". Lineage: Eukaryota; Viridiplantae; Streptophyta; Magnoliopsida; Fabales; Fabaceae. The record is from RNAcentral.